UACAGAGGGUGCAAGCGUUAAUCGGAUUUAUUGGGCGUAAAGCGUGCGUAGGCGGCUGCGCAAGUCGGUUGUGAAACCCCGGGGCUCAACCUCGGAACUGCAUCCGAUACUGCGUGGCUAGAGGUAGGUAGGGGAGAUCGGAAUUCCUGGUGUAGCGGUGAAAUGCGCAGAUAUCAGGAGGAACACCGGUGGCGAAGGCGGAUCUCUGGGCCUUACCUGACGCUCAGGCACGAAAGCUAGGGGAGCGAACAGG
Molecule: ribosomal RNA, 253 nt
Filed under: uncultured bacterium
Lineage: Bacteria
Description: partial 16S ribosomal RNA
Rfam family: Bacterial small subunit ribosomal RNA
Source: RNAcentral